Molecule: long non-coding RNA, 383 nt
Filed under: Homo sapiens (human)
Lineage: Eukaryota; Metazoa; Chordata; Mammalia; Primates; Hominidae
Description: non-protein coding lnc-ADAM32-1:8
Source: RNAcentral
AUGUUCCUUCUUCUGGUGCUUCUCACUGGACUUGGUGGGAUGCAUGCAGACCUCAAUCAAUUUUAUCUUCAGCUUCUGUUAUUAAUUCUUAUGACGAAAAUGACAUCCGUCAUUCCAAACCUCUGCUAGUUCAGAUGGAUUGCAAUUAUAAUGGAUAUGUUGCGGGUAUUCCAAAUUCUCUUGUGACUCUCAGCGUAUGUUCAGGACUCAGGGGAACAAUGCAGCUGAAAAACAUCUCAUAUGGAAUUGAACCGAUGGAGGCUGUAUCAGGAUUUAUACACAAGAUUUAUGAAGAAAAAUAUGCUGACACUAAUAUUCUCUUAGAAGAAAAUGACACUUAUACUUGGUUUAAUUCAGAGUAUCAAGUCAGAAAAAGUUCAGAA